This 1027-nucleotide ribosomal RNA is filed under the name Pseudoberkleasmium chiangmaiense. Its description in RNAcentral is "SSU rRNA". It matches the Rfam family "Eukaryotic small subunit ribosomal RNA", at positions 88 to 1124 of the family's 1831-position model. Lineage: Eukaryota; Fungi; Ascomycota; Dothideomycetes. The record is from RNAcentral.
UGCGAAUGGCUCAUUAAAUCAGUUAUCGUUUAUUUGAUAGUACCUUACUACUUGGAUAACCGUGGUAAUUCUAGAGCUAAUACAUGCUAAAAACCCCGACUUCGGGAGGGGUGUAUUUAUUAGAUAAAAAACCAAUGCCCUUCGGGGCUCUUUGGUGAUUCAUGAUAACUUAACGGAUCGCAUGGCCUUGCGCCGGCGACGGUUCAUUCAAAUUUCUGCCCUAUCAACUUUCGAUGGUAAGGUAUUGGCUUACCAUGGUUUCAACGGGUAACGGGAGAUUAGGGUUUGACUCCGGAGAGGGAGCCUGAGAAACGGCUACCACAUCCAAGGAAGGCAGCAGGCGCGCAAAUUACCCAAUCCCGACACGGGGAGGUAGUGACAAUAAAUACUGAUACAGGGCUCUUUUGGGUCUUGUAAUCGGAAUGAGUACAAUUUAAACCCCUUAACGAGGAACAAUUGGAGGGCAAGUCUGGUGCCAGCAGCCGCGGUAAUUCCAGCUCCAAUAGCGUAUAUUAAAGUUGUUGCAGUUAAAAAGCUCGUAGUUGAACCUUGGGCCUGGCUGGCCGGUCCGCCUCACCGCGUGUACUGGUCCGGCCGGGCCUUUCCUUCUGGAGAGCCGCAUGCCCUUCACUGGGUGUGUCGGGGAACCAGGACUUUUACUUUGAAAAAAUUAGAGUGUUCAAAGCAGGCCUUUGCUCGAAUACGUUAGCAUGGAAUAAUAGAAUAGGACGUGCGGUCCUAUUUUGUUGGUUUCUAGGACCGCCGUAAUGAUUAAUAGGGAUAGUCGGGGGCAUCAGUAUUCAAUUGUCAGAGGUGAAAUUCUUGGAUUUAUUGAAGACUAACUACUGCGAAAGCAUUUGCCAAGGAUGUUUUCAUUAAUCAGUGAACGAAAGUUAGGGGAUCGAAGACGAUCAGAUACCGUCGUAGUCUUAACCGUAAACUAUGCCGACUAGGGAUCGGGCGAUGUUUCUAUCUUGACUCGCUCGGCACCUUACGAGAAAUCAAAGUUUUUGGGUCUGGGGAGUGU